UACGUAGGGUGCGAGCGUUGUCCGGAAUUAUUGGGCGUAAAGGGCUCGUAGGCGGUCUGUUGCGUCGGGAGUGAAAACUCAGGGCUUAACCCUGAGCCUGCUUCCGAUACGGGCAGACUAGAGGUAUGCAGGGGAGAACGGAAUUCCUGGUGUAGCGGUGAAAUGCGCAGAUAUCAGGAGGAACACCGGUGGCGAAGGCGGUUCUCUGGGCAUGACCUGACGCUGAGGAGCGAAAGUGUGGGGAGCGAACGGG
Molecule: ribosomal RNA, 253 nt
Filed under: uncultured bacterium
Lineage: Bacteria
Description: partial 16S ribosomal RNA
Rfam family: Bacterial small subunit ribosomal RNA
Source: RNAcentral